RNAcentral lists this ribosomal RNA (497 nucleotides) under uncultured bacterium. RNAcentral describes it as "partial 16S ribosomal RNA". It matches the Rfam family "Bacterial small subunit ribosomal RNA", at positions 28 to 507 of the family's 1533-position model. The record is from RNAcentral.
GAUGAACGCUGGCGGCGUGCCUAAUACAUGCAAGUCGAGCGAACAGACGAGGAGCUUGCUCCUCUGACGUUAGCGGCGGACGGGUGAGUAACACGUGGAUAACCUACCUAUAAGACUGGGAUAACUUCGGGAAACCGGAGCUAAUACCGGAUAAUAUAUUGAACCGCAUGGUUCAAUAGUGAAAGACGGUUUUGCUGUCACUUAUAGAUGGAUCCGCGCCGCAUUAGCUAGUUGGCAAGGUAACGGCUUACCAAGGCAACGAUGCGUAGCCGACCUGAGAGGGUGAUCGGCCACACUGGAACUGAGACACGGUCCAGACUCCUACGGGAGGCAGCAGUAGGGAAUCUUCCGCAAUGGGCGAAAGCCUGACGGAGCAACGCCGCGUGAGUGAUGAAGGUCUUCGGAUCGUAAAACUCUGUUAUUAGGGAAGAACAAAUGUGUAAGUAACUAUGCACGUCUUGACGGUACCUAAUCAGAAAGCCACGGCUAACUACGCG